This is a non-coding RNA of Acanthosepion pharaonis, 110 nucleotides long. The record is from the annotation of a GenBank genome assembly. NCBI's taxonomy places the organism in Eukaryota, Metazoa, Mollusca, Cephalopoda, Sepiida, Sepiidae.
ACCCACAUCAUGUUGAAACACUUAUUCUUAUAUGAUCACUGAAGUUAAGCAAUGUCAAGCCUGGUCAGUAUCUAGAUGGGUGACUGCUUAGGAAUACCAGGUGCUGUAAG